RNAcentral lists this ribosomal RNA (466 nucleotides) under uncultured Nitrosomonas sp. RNAcentral's name for it is "bacterial SSU rRNA". It matches the Rfam family "Bacterial small subunit ribosomal RNA", at positions 198 to 645 of the family's 1533-position model. The record is from RNAcentral. Lineage: Bacteria; Pseudomonadati; Pseudomonadota; Betaproteobacteria; Nitrosomonadales; Nitrosomonadaceae.
GGAGAAAAGCAGGGGAUCGAAAGACCUUAUGCUUUUGGAGUGGCCGAUGUCUGAUUAGCUAGUUGGUGAGGUAAAGGCUUACCAAGGCAACGAUCAGUAGUUGGUCUGAGAGGAUGACCAACCACACUGGGACUGAGACACGGCCCAGACUCCUACGGGAGGCAGCAGUGGGGAAUUUUGGACAAUGGGGGAAACCCUGAUCCAGCAAUGCCGCGUGAGUGAAGAAGGCCUUCGGGUUGUAAAGCUCUUUCAGUUGAGAAGAAAAGAUUCUGACUAAUAAUCAUAAUUAAUGACGGUAUCAACAGAAGGAGCACCGGCUAACUACGCGCCAGCAGCCGCGGUAAUACGUAGGGUGCGAGCGUUAAUCGGAAUUACUGGGCGUAAAGGGUGCGCAGGCGGUUACGUAAGUCAGAUGUGAAAUCCCCGGGCUUAACCUGGGAAUUGCGUUUGAAACUACAAAGCUAGA